Xenopus laevis (African clawed frog) is the source of this 187-nucleotide non-coding RNA. Lineage: Eukaryota; Metazoa; Chordata; Amphibia; Anura; Pipidae. The record is from Rfam.
GUGCCCUGUGAUUACUAAAAGACGCGUUAUUACGAGGACAAAUGCUGGCUGCUCACCCCCUCCCUCUCUACCUCCACACCCCAUUCUGCCCCAAUUGUUCCCUUCUAUUGCUUUACUCUUCCGCCCCCCUUGCCCCUUUUCUGAGUAACCAGUGUCCGCUGAGCACGAUUAUGAGAUCUGAGGGCUU